AAGACCUUGCAUACUCAAACCUUGCAUACUCUUUUAUAAACUUUUUGGAUGUUUGAAAAAAUGAUUAUAAAAUCCGUCGCAAAAGUAGAAAGCAGCACCGCACAAAAUUCUAUAACUCUUUAGAACACAAAAAAGGAGUCUUAAUUAAUAGAGAAACGUUUAAACUUAAAAUAGCAAUGCAGACCUUUUUUUUUUUAAUUAAACAAUAAUAAGGCCCUACGCAAAUGAGCAGCUUUGCAAAUAAAAAAAAAUUACCAUUUUUUAAAAGCAAAAGAAGUCUAGAAACUACCGCAAAGAAACGUCUAAAUUAAAAGAUCGAUUGCUCCAGAUUAACACUUAGGGUCAAAUAAGGUGUCAGUUAAAGCCUUAUACUCCAAUAAAAGUUACGUUAAUUUGAUUUUUUUACAUUCAGGAUGAAAAUGUUUCUGACAUUGAUUUUUAUGUUUUUAAUGGUUUUGCCGUUAGCAAAUGCUAGAGACUGGAGAUUUGGUGACAAUGGUCUAACCCGAUGGGAUUUUAACUGCGAUUUUAACAGAAAAGAUUUUAGCGUCGUAGCUACAGCAGGUGAAAACUGUGGCAGUACCUGCAUUGCAAAUUCUCACUGUACUCAUUUCACCCACUCAAAGGGAAUUUGUUAUUUAAAACAUUAUGCUGGCAGCGAUUGGCGAGAAAUAUAUGCUGGAGGUGAUGCUGUAUGUGGUUGGAUUAUUCGUCGUAGCGGACAACCUAAUAAAUAAAUACAGACAACUUAAUUGUUAAAAAAGACUUUAUGAGACGCCAUUGUUAUAUGUAGUUUUAUUUAAAAAGUUUUUUUUUCACAAAA
Molecule: long non-coding RNA, 823 nt
Organism: Hydra vulgaris (swiftwater hydra)
Lineage: Eukaryota; Metazoa; Cnidaria; Hydrozoa; Anthoathecata; Hydridae
Source: RefSeq, a predicted model, not a curated record